GAUGAACGCUGGCGGCGUGCCUAAUACAUGCAAGUCGAGCGAACAGACGAGGAGCUGGCUCCUCUGACGUUAGCGGCGGACGGGUGAGUAACACGUGGAUAACCUACCUAUAAGACUGGGAUAACUUCGGGAAACCGGAGCUAAUACCGGAUAAUAUAUUGAACCGCAUGGUUCAAUAGUGAAAGACGGUUUUGCUGUCACUUAUAGAUGGAUCCGCGCCGCAUUAGCUAGUUGGUAAGGUAACGGCUUACCAAGGCAACGAUGCGUAGCCGACCUGAGAGGGUGAUCGGCCACACGGGAACUGAGACACGGUACAGACUCCUACGGGAGGCAGCAGUAGGGAAUCUUACGCAAUGGGGGAAAGCCUGAUGGAGCACCGCCGCGUGAGUGAUGAAGGUCUUCGGAUCGUAAAACGCUGUAAUUAGGGAAGAACAAAUGUGUAAGUAACUAUGAACGUCUUGACGGUACCUGAUCAGAAAGCCACGGCUAACUACGUG
This 497-nucleotide ribosomal RNA is filed under the name uncultured bacterium. RNAcentral's name for it is "partial 16S ribosomal RNA". It matches the Rfam family "Bacterial small subunit ribosomal RNA", at positions 28 to 507 of the family's 1533-position model. The record is from RNAcentral.